RNAcentral lists this unclassified non-coding RNA (520 nucleotides) under uncultured Glomus. RNAcentral describes it as "SSU rRNA". It matches the Rfam family "Eukaryotic small subunit ribosomal RNA", at positions 569 to 1093 of the family's 1831-position model. Lineage: Eukaryota; Fungi; Glomeromycota; Glomeromycetes; Glomerales; Glomeraceae. The record is from RNAcentral.
AGCAGCCGCGGUAAUUCCAGCUCCAACAGCGUAUAUUAAAGUUGUUGCAGUUAAAAGCUCGUAGUUGAACUUCGGAAUCAGUAUGUUGGUCGUGCUUCGGUACGUACUGUCAUUACUGGUUUCUACCUUCUGAAGAACCUUGAUGUCAUUAAUUUGGUGUCUUGGGGAAUCAGGACUGUUACUUUGAAAAAAUUAGAGUGUUUAAAGCAAGCAUACGCUUGAAUACAUUAGCAUGGAAUAAUGAAAUAGGACGUUUGAUUCUAUUUUGUUGGUUUCUAGGAUCGACGUAAUGAUUAAUAGGGAUAGUUGGGGGCAUUAGUAUUCAAUUGUCAGAGGUGAAAUUCUUGGAUUUAUUGAAGACUAACUACUGCGAAAGCAUUUUGCCAAGGAUGUUUUCAUUAAUCAAGAACGAAAGUUAGGGGAUCGAAGACGAUCAGAUACCGUCGUAGUCUUAACCAUAAACUAUGCCGACUAGGGAUCGGAUGAUGUUAUUUUUAAUGACUCAUUCGGCGCCUUACGG